RNAcentral lists this long non-coding RNA (208 nucleotides) under Lathyrus oleraceus (garden pea). Its description in RNAcentral is "Pisum sativum (pea) long non-coding RNA (PSAT_LNC015738)". The record is from RNAcentral. Lineage: Eukaryota; Viridiplantae; Streptophyta; Magnoliopsida; Fabales; Fabaceae.
AGUAAUCAAGAAAUCAUUGGUUCAAAUUCAUAGCAUACGAUAACAUCAGGACCACCCCCUAGCAUCAGGGGGUUUAGCCUCUCAUAGUACUUAAAGAACUCAUAAAGUAAAGAUUAGACAUUACAAAGAAUUAGGAGAGUUUGAUCUUCAAUGGUUACUACCCUUGAAUCUCGUCGUCUUCAAAUCCGUUGUAUUCGCUAUCUUCUUC